This 1230-nucleotide long non-coding RNA is filed under the name Oryctolagus cuniculus (rabbit). RNAcentral describes it as "lncRNA (ENSOCUG00000038212.1)". Lineage: Eukaryota; Metazoa; Chordata; Mammalia; Lagomorpha; Leporidae. The record is from RNAcentral.
UAAUAUUUCAAGUCUAGGAAGCACAGUUGCCUUUGGCUUACCAGUUCAUAAUAUAUCAGGACACACUGCUAUUUGCCAAAUGGGCUGGAAAAGAAAGUUAUUAUGCAAAUAUGCGAGAAGUAAUAGUUGUGACUGAUGUUUCUGCAUGUAAAAUGUGUCUAGAAUAAAAAGAAAAUGAAAACCCGCAAGCCUCUCCUGCAUCUGUGAUUAACCUCCUGUCCGUCCUCAGAACUCCUGAGUCUCAGUCAGUCUUGCAGGCUGUCCUGUGAUCCCUACCCACCACUGAUACCAGCCUGAAAGUAAAGUGAAUGUCAAGAAACCAUGCAGCAACUUUUAUAACUUCUCAGAGUCAAAAAGAAAGAAGAAAGAGCGCACAACGUCGCCAAGGUGUUUUCUCCGUGAAGUCAUGGCCGCCUUUCCUCCUGGAUCUCUUCCUGAUCUGCUCGUAUCAUUCUCUUAAGUUCUUGCUUGUGCAGAUAACUGGGCUAAUGAAGGAUUUGCCUUCUCCAUGCAUUCCGAAAUAAAGAACUGUCAUCACACCUAUUUUAUUUUGUAAAGGCCUAAAAGGCCAGAAGUGACUUAGAUCACUUCUAUUGGUGCACAUUUAUUUUUAUUCAGAGAAACUUCCCAACAUGCAACUGGAAUCAUUCUUAAGGAGUAUUUCUAACACUUUUCCUUGCUCCAGAAGAAUCAGAAGAACUAGUUCAAACUGGCUUCUGAAUGUUCAGAUCACUGAACAGCUAUGGAAAAUGAGGAAGACUGCACACUGGAACAGGAACAAACCACUGGGUUAUUUGUAAUGUACAUUGCAUAAGGCAAGUUUCUCCCGAAUGGUUGGUUGUGAUACUGGUCCUCAGAAAAAGUAUGCAUAGUUUAUGCCUUAUAUUUUGUUUUAUGGAGCCAACACUGUGGCAUAGCAGGUAAAGCUACCGCCUCAGUGCCAACAUUUCAUAUGAGUGCCAGAUCAAGUCUCAGCUGUUCCACUUCUGAUACAGCUCCCUGCUAAUGUGUCUAGGAAAGCACGGAAGAUGGCCCAAGUGCUUGGCCCCUGCACCACCAGGAAGAAGCUCCUGACUCUGCAUCCUGUCUUCAGGUCAGCCCAGCUCUGACCUUUAUGGCCAUUUGGGGAGUGAAUCAGUGGAUGGAUGAUCUUUCUCUUUCUCUUUCUGUGUGUGUGUGUGUGUGUAAUUCUUCCUUUAAAAUAAAUAAAUCUUUUCAAAAUUAAAAACA